UGGUCAUUAACCAAGGCUCUUUAGAAUGUAGUCUCUCAUUUGCUGUGGACAUGUCCAUAAAACGUUUUCUUGUUAGGUUUUCUAUAUGCUGCCUGGUUAGCAAUCAACCUACUGGGAAUAUUU
Molecule: small nucleolar RNA, 123 nt
Filed under: Castor canadensis (American beaver)
Lineage: Eukaryota; Metazoa; Chordata; Mammalia; Rodentia; Castoridae
Description: Small nucleolar RNA SNORA32 (ENSCCNG00000019896.1)
Rfam family: Small nucleolar RNA SNORA32
About the family: ACA32 is a member of the H/ACA class of snoRNA that guide the sites of modification of uridines to pseudouridines.
Source: Rfam by way of RNAcentral